Girardinichthys multiradiatus is the source of this 707-nucleotide long non-coding RNA. RefSeq lists it as uncharacterized. Lineage: Eukaryota; Metazoa; Chordata; Actinopteri; Cyprinodontiformes; Goodeidae. The transcript has 3 exons. The record is from RefSeq and is a predicted model, not a curated record.
UGACCCUUAUGGGAGCUCACAUGUCAGAGGAGCAGAGUCUGAGGUCAACUUGUCUGGCCUAUCCUAUUGGAUAGAUAAAAGAAGAAGACUGUCGGAGUCUGGGAGUUUUCAUAUAUAUUGUUUUUGCCUGCUGCUAACACUUACUCACCACUAAAUGCAGCCAAGAUCCCCUGGUGCUGAGGGUAGCAGGUGUUCCACAUCUUCACUCAUCUGGAGGAGUAUAAAAAGGUGGAGCUGUCAGCACUCCAGUGCCUGAGUGUUUGCCUUUGUGGUGACUUCCAAGUCCAAGCCUCAAAGCUCCUGCAACCUUCAGCCUUGGCUCAAAGUCUCAGCUUUGAAUCCUGCUUCAGUCAGAGCUUCAAAUCCUUCAAGAAACUUACCUGGCUCAAGUACUAGCUGACGGCUCAAGCCUACCUCCUUCAGUAAGCUCACCCUGCUCACCCUCCUACUAUUACCUUCACAUGCAGCUUCCGGAAACCUCACCAGAUAACACACAAAAAUCAAACUGUCAAGACCUCACCUGAACGUUCCCUUGAGAAUUCACCACCUCUUUGGACUGACUCGCAGACUCAGCAGCUUCAUUACCGUUCUCCCAGGCUCCACAUCGUUCUUCCUCAACCAAGCUCAACCCCAACUCCAUUUGGUGUUUCCAGUCCCAGUUCCUGUUCCACUAUUCAUCCCUGUAAAAAUAAACCCUUUUAAACUUU